Molecule: long non-coding RNA, 122 nt
Organism: Herpailurus yagouaroundi (jaguarundi)
Lineage: Eukaryota; Metazoa; Chordata; Mammalia; Carnivora; Felidae
Exons: 3
Source: RefSeq, a predicted model, not a curated record
ACUUGUGCUCUCCCGAUGGCGAUCUGGCUGCGACAUCCGUCACCCCAUUGAUGGCCAGGGUUGAUUCGGCUGAUCUGGCUGGCUAGGCGGGUGUCCCCUUCCUCCCUCACCGCUCCAUGUGC